GUUAUCAUUGCCUUGGUGUUUUUAAUGAAUUAUUUUCCUUCCAUUUCUUCAGGAUGGCAUUAACAUUAUAGACGAAGGACAAUUCCGCUGAGAGGAUUCACUGCACUCUAUGAUUCAGCAAUAUCAAUGCCCGUAAGUACUCAUUAAUACUUCAUGUUAUUCAUGUAUAGUCAGUUAACUCAAGCUAUUAUUGCCUGAUUUUGCCUUCUUGGGAAAUUCUUCAUGGUUUAUUCAGGGUGAAAUAAUUCUUUAAUACUUUACUUUUCAGACAGGUGAAGGCCGACAUCUUUACUGGGCUGUGGUUGUUGUCUCGACGUUCAAGAUGAGAGCAUCUACCUUCAAAUGAAUGUUGACUUAUAUAACAAGAUGAAAACUUCAACAACCAAAAAACGAAGAAACUUUAAAACAAUAUGAGGAAAAUUGACCUCAUCUUAAGCUACAAGGACAGGUGUUAAAGUAGAGAAUGCAGAUACUUCCAAUACCUUACGGCCGGAGUUUGACGCCUUUGACAGCCGAGAUAAGUUAAUGAGUGACCAAUGGGAGAAACUGGAUACAUUAAAUACUUGAAAACUGGAAUGCAAGGAGAAAUACAGUAUGAUCUACAAAAUCAAGAACUGCAAGACUAUUACAACUUUGAAAAAACCUUGAUGAAGUAAGGUAAGAAAAAGUUUAAAAAUUCAUGGUUUGGUGUUUGCUAUCAUCGGGACUUGGUGCUGAAUCCUCAAACUUUAUGGAGGGUUCUAGAGGUCUUUCUCGCUUGGCGAAGCAGGAAAACUGUAGUACCUGGACAGAAAAUUGUUUCAAAAUGCACCAGACAACCAACCACAACUAUUGACAAUUUUGUUCUCUGAAACAAGGAAAGAGUUAUAUAAUUUCAAACAGUUCGUAUAUAUGACAUGUUGUCUAAUUUCGCUCUUUCGACACACCAAAUGAAACCGAAUUGCUAAUUGUAGGUUUUGUUUUGUGUGUCAAAAGAGAGGAAUUAUACGAUAUGUCACUUACAAACUGUAUCAAGCCACAAUCUAAGUAUUUGAAUCAUAUUUCUUGUACUAGAGAAUGUCUGGAUAGUACAUGUCAAUACUGUUGUAGAACCUGGAACUUUCUGAAUUAGAUGUGAGUUAUCGUUAAACUAUUAACUGGAAGCAUUAAAUAUUUGAAAACUGGAACGCAAGGAGGAAUACAGUUUCAUCUACGAAAUCGAGAACUGAAGUCAAGAUUUACAGGGGAAUGAUGACAAGAAUAUUACAACUUUGAAAAAGACCUUGAUGAGGUAAGAAAAAGUUUAAGAAUUCAUGGUUUGGUGUUUGCUAUCAUCAGUAGUAGUUGGAGCUGUAUUCUCAUGCAAAUGUUGUGGAGGUUUGCUGGGGAUCUGUCUCGCUUGGCGAGGAAGAAAAAGUGUAGUACGCGGAGACAAAAUGCUGUUUUAAAGUGCAGGAGACAACCAACCACAACUCUACUUCAAUUAUAUUUCUUGUACUAGAAAAUGUCUGGAUAUUGCAAGUCCAUGGUGCUGUGUGCCACGUACAACUUUCUGAAUUAGAGGUGAGUUAUCGUUAAACUAUUCAACUUGGACAACAUUUAUCACUAUCUGCAAGUUGAAAGCACUUUAUUUCUGCAGGAAAUGAUUCUAUAAAUAUUUUCUUGCUUUGUUUAAAAGAAACAUUAGGAGACGAAAGAAGUCUCCAUAAAGAGUUUAAAGUUUACUUGAAGGACAACAUCAUUGAAGAGAUGUAAGUCGUACAUUAUUGGUGACAAAAAUGAACUUCAACCUAAUUUGACCAGAAGGUUUUUUGUCACAUACACGAAUUUCUGCAUAUUUUUCUUCCAUUUCUUCAGGAUGGUGGCUAACAUCUCAGACGAAGGACAAUCCCGCUGAAAGGAUUCCCUGCAGUCUAUUCGGUUAAAUCAACGCCUGUAAGUAUCCAUUAAUACAUCCAAUUAUCUCUCUAAUGUGCAUUCAGCACAGUACGUGAACGCUGUCUCGCUUGUCACUCGUCGUGAACAUUUGUAUUCUUGAACUGAAAAAUCAAGAAUAAAGAUGGCGAACUGACGCUAAAUUAACCUGAAGUGGGACCUCACUUUGUGGCAUAGUACAGCAAGAUAUUUGUUGUCUUGAGCAGAAUUUGCUCUACCCAUUGAAGUAUCGAGUCAACGGGGAUCCAAUAUCAUUCUACAUUAUGGUUGAGUUUGUUUUGACACUAUGGGUGUGUCAAUCUGUGUGUUGAUUUGUUGUAUCUUUGUAUUUUUAGUGGUUUGCUAGCUCGCCUAUUGUGUGGUCAGACAAGAGGACGGUGGCCUAUCUUGUUGUAUUUAUUGUUCAUACAUUCUGUUCUACUUGUCUGUUUGUAUUCUCUAUACGCAUGCAGCUUAAUUUGCAACAUACAAUGACAAAGACAUUGAAUGUCAAAAUUGUUAAUUAAUAAGCGAGCAAAUUAUUGUUAUUUAAAUGACUUAAUGUGUAAUAAAUUAUUCGCAC
RNAcentral lists this long non-coding RNA (2476 nucleotides) under Paramuricea clavata. Lineage: Eukaryota; Metazoa; Cnidaria; Anthozoa; Malacalcyonacea; Plexauridae. The record is from RNAcentral.